AUCUGAUGAGUGGAUAUGGCGCAGGAGUGGAUUGGUGGGCAUUUGCCAUUAUUCUGUGCCAAAUGGCCGCCAGAAGAUCUCCAUUCCACGAAGGCUCGACACUGCUCAACAUCAUCGAAUCAGUCACCUUGAAGCAGCCUUCCAUUCCAGAGGAUAUCAGCCCUGAUCUGAAAAGUCUGAUGCAGGAGCUCUUUGAGAAGAAUCCAGACAAGCGCCUGGGCACAUCGGGGGAUAUAAGGAAACACCCGUUUUAUAAAUCGGUUGACUGGGCAGCGUUGGAGAACAGGAAGAUUCCACCUCCUUUCAAGCCACAAUCUCAGGUCCUUUCUCCUUCAGUGCUGUGGCUGGAGGUAUAUUCUUGAAACGCCAAACCCCCAUCCCCUUAGCCAGACUGUGACAAAUGUGGUUGGUGCUUGGCUGGUUCUGUUCUGGGCAAGGCAGGAUACCGACUGUGGAUGUCAGUGCAGUCUGUGAAGAGCCCCUGUCAUUCGUAGAAGAGCCAGGCUGCAUCAACCCAUCAGGUGGUAUAAAAAUGAUUCAGGGUCUGUCAUUCCUGAGUCCCAGUUGGGAAAGAUC
Molecule: RNA transcript, 576 nt
Organism: Xenopus laevis (African clawed frog)
Lineage: Eukaryota; Metazoa; Chordata; Amphibia; Anura; Pipidae
Gene name: protein kinase C delta type-like
Exons: 4
Source: RefSeq, a predicted model, not a curated record